CAAGGAAGUGACGGCUAACUACGUGCCAGCAGCCGCGGUAAAACGUAGGUCACAAGCGUUGUCCGGAAUUACUGGGUGUAAAGGGAGCGCAGGCGGGAGAACAAGUUGGAAGUGAAAUCCAUGGGCUCAACCCAUGAACUGCUUUCAAAACUGUUUUUCUUGAGUAGUGCAGAGGUAGGCGGAAUUCCCGGUGUAGCGGUGGAAUGCGUAGAUAUCGGGAGGAACACCAGUGGCGAAGGCGGCCAACUGGGCACCAACUGACGCUGAGGCUCGAAAGUGUGGGUAGCAAACAGGAUUAGAUACCCUGGUAGUCCACACCGUAAACGAUGAUUACUAGGUGUUGGAGGAUUGACCCCUUCAGUGCCGCAGUUAACACAAUAAGUAAUCCACCUGGGGAGUACGACCGCAAGGUUGCAACUCAAAUGAAUUGACGG
Molecule: ribosomal RNA, 434 nt
Filed under: uncultured Bacillota bacterium
Lineage: Bacteria; Bacillati; Bacillota
Description: bacterial SSU rRNA
Rfam family: Bacterial small subunit ribosomal RNA
Source: RNAcentral